AACUGGCGGCAGCUUUCGAAUGCUAUCUCUACGGGAAGUGGUGUUUCGAGUGGCGGACGGGUGAGUAACGCGUAAAAACCUGCCCUUGGGAGGGGAACAACAGCUGGAUACUGCUGCUAGUACCCCGUAUGCUGAGGAGCGAAAGGAGGAAUCCGCCCUACGAGGGGCUCGCGUCUGAUUACCUAGUUGGUGAGGUAAUAACUUACCAAGGCGGUGAUCAGUAGCUGGUCCGAGAGAUGAUCAGCCACACUGGGACUGAGACAUAGGCCCACACUCCUACGGGAGGCACCAGUGGGGAAUUUUCCGCAGUGGGCUAAAGCCUGACGGAGCAAUGCCGCGUGGAAGAAAAAGGCCUACGGGUCAUGAACUUCUUUUCCUGGAGAAUAAACAAUGACCGUAUCUGGGGAAUAAGCAUCCGCUAACUCUGUGCCACCAUCCGCGGUAAG
This 446-nucleotide ribosomal RNA is filed under the name uncultured bacterium. Its description in RNAcentral is "bacterial SSU rRNA". It matches the Rfam family "Bacterial small subunit ribosomal RNA", at positions 36 to 524 of the family's 1533-position model. The record is from RNAcentral.